UCUUCUACCGCUGCUUGCUUCCAGGACUUGCUUAAUCUGAAGCACCGGCGGGAAUCAACGCUUCCGAAGCUCUCUCAUCAUCAUCUCCUAACUCUGAGGAUAGAGAUUCCAUCUGAUAUCUAGACAUGGAUACUGCUCUUCAUGGUUUGAAAACGUGCAACUCUACAUUCAAAUGGAGCUCUGUGAUUAUAGUUUAUCCAUUGGCAGGUAUUCUCACCCAUUCUCUGAGGUAAAUGCACUGAGAGCCUUUGUAUCAGGCUAUGGUGGAUCUCGAACUGGCACGACGUCCUUCGGCAAGGGAAAUUCUUGAGACUCCCAUAUUAGAAAAGGUCAGAGAUCAUACCAAAUCUUAGGACAAUGUCAACCAUGGUAUCAUCUUAUUGUGUUCUCUUUUUCUCAGAUGUGCUUUGUUUGUACAAUUCCUUAAUAUCAGCAUGCUAUUUUGUUA
Long non-coding RNA from Cucurbita pepo subsp. pepo (vegetable marrow), 448 nucleotides. RefSeq lists it as uncharacterized. The record is from RefSeq and is a predicted model, not a curated record. Lineage: Eukaryota; Viridiplantae; Streptophyta; Magnoliopsida; Cucurbitales; Cucurbitaceae.